This is a regulatory RNA element of Pluralibacter gergoviae, 430 nucleotides long. It matches the Rfam family "cspA thermoregulator". Lineage: Bacteria; Pseudomonadati; Pseudomonadota; Gammaproteobacteria; Enterobacterales; Enterobacteriaceae. The record is from Rfam.
AUCGGUUUGACAAUAAACGAUAUCCGAAUCAGUUCUCUCAAGUUGCUCCAUCAUUAGCCUCUCCUUUGAUGUCUCUUCUUCAGUUCUUUUUCCUCUCUGAUAUCUUUUUUUCAGACCCUAAUGCCUGCGGGUGAUAUAAAUAAUAAGGAACGAAAGAUGACGACUAAAAUGACCGGUCUAGUGAAAUGGUUUAAUGCAGAUAAAGGCUUUGGCUUUAUUACUCCGGAAGAUGGCAGUAAAGAUGUGUUCGUGCACUUCUCUGCGAUUCAGAGUGAUGACUUCCGCACGCUGCACGAAAACCAAAAAGUUGAAUUUGCUGUUGAAAAUGGUGCCAAAGGCCCUUCAGCAGUAAAUGUAGUGGCGCUCUGAGGACAUCACUAUUACUGACGCUAUUCAUUUUCGCUGCCCAUGCUGCCACGGGUCUCAAUAC